RNAcentral lists this ribosomal RNA (492 nucleotides) under uncultured bacterium. Its description in RNAcentral is "partial 16S ribosomal RNA". It matches the Rfam family "Bacterial small subunit ribosomal RNA", at positions 29 to 507 of the family's 1533-position model. The record is from RNAcentral.
AGUGAACGCUGGCGGUAGGCCUAACACAUGCAAGUCGAACGGCAGCACAGUAAGAGCUUGCUCUUACGGGUGGCGAGUGGCGGACGGGUGAGGAAUACAUCGGAAUCUACUUUUUCGUGGGGGAUAACGUAGGGAAACUUACGCUAAUACCGCAUACGACCUACGGGUGAAAGCAGGGGAUCUUCGGACCUUGCGCGAUUGAAUGAGCCGAUGUCGGAUUAGCUAGUUGGCGGGGUAAAGGCCCACCAAGGCGACGAUCCGUAGCUGGUCUGAGAGGAUGGUCAGCCACACUGGAACUGAGACACGGUCCAGACUCCUACGGGAGGCAGCAGUGGGGAAUAUUGGACAAUGGGCGCAAGCCUGAUCCAGCCAUACCGCGUGGGUGAAGAAGGCCUUCGGGUUGUAAAGCCCUUUUGUUGGGAAAGAAAAGCAGCAGGUUAAUACCCCGCUGUUCUGACGGUACCCAAAGAAGAAGCACCGGCUAACUUCGUG